This 215-nucleotide ribosomal RNA is filed under the name uncultured bacterium. RNAcentral describes it as "partial 16S ribosomal RNA". It matches the Rfam family "Bacterial small subunit ribosomal RNA", at positions 524 to 736 of the family's 1533-position model. The record is from RNAcentral.
UACGGGGGGUGCGAGCGUUGUCCGGAAUCACUGGGCGUAAAGGGCGCGUAGGUGGUUUGAUAAGGGUGUGGUGAAAGUCCGGGGCUCAACCCCGGAUCUGCCGUGCCGACUGUCAAACUCGAGGACUGUAGAGGCAGACGGAAUUCCGGGUGUAGCGGUGGAAUGCGUAGAGUAUCGGAGGAAGACCGGUGGCGAAGGCGGCCGACCUGGGUCAG